GAGCUUGCUCUGAUUUGAUUUUAUCUGACAAAGAGUGGCGAACGGGUGAGUAACACGUGGGUAACCUACCUCUUAGCAGGGGAUAACAUUUGGAAACAAGUGCUAAUACCGUAUAAUACCAACAACCGCAUGGUUGUUGGUUGAAAGAUGGUUCUGCUAUCACUAAGAGAUGGACCCGCGGUGCAUUAGCUAGUUGGUAAGGUAACGGCUUACCAAGGCAAUGAUGCAUAGCCGAGUUGAGAGACUGAUCGGCCACAAUGGGACUGAGACACGGCCCAUACUCCUACGGGAGGCAGCAGUAGGGAAUCUUCCACAAUGGGCGCAAGCCUGAUGGAGCAACGCCGCGUGUGUGAUGAAGGGUUUCGGCUCGUAAAACACUGUUAUAAGAGAAGAACGGCACUGAGAGUAACUGUUCAGUGUGUGACGGUAUCUUACCAGAAAGGAACGGCUAAAUACGUGCCAGCAGCCGCGGUAAUACGUAUGUUCCAAGCGUUAUCCGGAUUUAUUGGGCGUAAAGCGAGCGCAGACGGUUAUUUAAGUCUGAAGUGAAAGCCCUCAGCUCAACUGAGGAAUGGCUUUGGAAACUGGAUGACUUGAGUGCAGUAGAGGAAAGUGGAACUCCAUGUGUAGCGGUGAAAUG
Molecule: ribosomal RNA, 640 nt
Filed under: Weissella paramesenteroides
Lineage: Bacteria; Bacillati; Bacillota; Bacilli; Lactobacillales; Lactobacillaceae
Description: bacterial SSU rRNA
Rfam family: Bacterial small subunit ribosomal RNA
Source: RNAcentral